GGGGGGGGCCUUCGGGAGGCAGCAGUGGGGAAUAUUGCACAAUGGGCGCAAGCCUGAUGCAGCAACGCCGCGUGAGGGACGACGGCCUUCGGGUUGUAAACCUCUUUUAGCAGGGAAGAAGCGAGAGUGACGGUACCUGCAGAAAAAGCACCGGCUAACUACGUGCCAGCAGCCGCGGUAAUACGUAGGGUGCAAGCGUUGUCCGGAAUUAUUGGGCGUAAAGAGCUCGUAGGCGGUUUGUCGCGUCUGCUGUGAAAUCCCGAGGCUCAACCUCGGGCUUGCAGUGGGUACGGGCAGACUAGAGUGCGGUAGGGGAGAUUGGAAUUCCUGGUGUAGCGGUGGAAUGCGCAGAUAUCAGGAGGAACACCGAUGGCGAAGGCAGAUCUCUGGGCCGUAACUGACGCUGAGGAGCGAAAGCAUGGGGAGCAAACAGGCUUAGAUACCCUGGUAGUCCAUGCCGUAAACGUUGGGAACUAGAUGUGGGGACCAUUCCACGGUCUCCGUGUCGUAGCUAACGCAUUAAGUCCCCGCCUGGGGAGAGU
RNAcentral lists this ribosomal RNA (542 nucleotides) under Agrococcus baldri. RNAcentral's name for it is "bacterial SSU rRNA". It matches the Rfam family "Bacterial small subunit ribosomal RNA", at positions 327 to 883 of the family's 1533-position model. Lineage: Bacteria; Bacillati; Actinomycetota; Actinomycetes; Micrococcales; Microbacteriaceae. The record is from RNAcentral.